UGACGUCUCGGCGGAAGUUCCCAGUUUUCGUCUGCUGCAAAUAGGGUAAAGGCGUCCGCCAGCCAGGGCAGAUAGCCCAAGACCUGUUGCUUGGCUGGCCAGCCAGAGGUGCAUGAAGUUGGUGAUUCAGAGGGAAAGCAUUUGGAAGAGAAAGCAAUGUAGUCAUUUCAUAGAAUCCUGACAAUGUGAUUUUGGUCAAGGUGAUCCAAGGUGGGUGAAAAGAUGAGGAAAUGUGGAGCAGCAAUAAUAUGAGAAUUCUUCAGGGUAAUUGAUUCCGAUGAGUCACUUGCAGGUAACUCUGCUGAACCUACAAUGUGAAGAAUGCCUCCUCCUUUCCUCUUCUCCUCUUUUUGAGGUGAUACAAGGCUAUGAUGGCAAGUAAAAAAUGAGGUCUGCAGAUGCUGGAGAUCACAGCUGCAAAUGUGUUGCUGGUCAAAGCACAGCAGGUUAGGCAGCAUCUCAGGAAUAGAGAAUUCGACGUUUCGAGCAUAAGCCCUUCAUCAGGAAGGCAAGGGCUACAUCCUUUAAAAAAAACGCAAAUUGUGAAGGAUGCAGCAAAUCACCACGAAUUUGGAGACUUUUUUGGAGGGCAUCAUGCCCCUCUUGCAUCAGGCAACUCAACCAUUGCUCCAGAGUAUUAAUGUAUGCUGCACAGUGUUCCUCAUUGUAGCAUGACUCUCACUGAAGUGGAGUCAUCAUGCAUGUGGAGAGGCUGCUAACACUUGUCACUGAAUAGCCAUCCUCUGGAUCCAUGUGAGGCUGGUGUGUCCGAUUGAUGGACCUAUCAUGAGUGCUGCCAGGAAAAGUGAAGUCAACAACAUGAUGCGUUUGAAAACACAUGAACUGCAUGUUCAGGAAGUGGAAUCAUUGGUGAAUGCAAAGAAUUUCACCAUUAAGAUGCAACACGCAGAUGGCUUCCUGCGCCAUUGUGAAAUCUGCUGUCCUGACAAAGUUAUGUGUAUAUUCGUCUUCUCUCCUAAGAGAGAAGACAGCUAACUCUCCUUUCCUUAUGUACAGGACCAUUGUGUGCCCUCGAUACAGUAAUAGAUCGAGAUCAAAGAAAUAUUGGGGCUGUCAUUAGCUUGACCUGGAACAAGUUCCUGUAGAAAUUGAGGCCAACAAUAACCUUGAGGGUCACUGGCAGCAUCGUGCUUGCCAAGCACUGUAAGAGUCUGAGGAGAUGGUGAAAGGCCUUCUCCUUCUUCCUUGGUAAACAGCUUAUUUUCUUUGCUGCUUCUGCUUGAUCUCAUGGUCUGGAAAUGUCAGCUUUGGACUUGGGUGGACACAAUCAUAAGUCACCUGGCACCUCGUUAUAGUCCCAACAGGUUUAUUUGAAACCACAAGCUUUUGGAACACUGCUACUUUCUCAGGUAAAGGAGGGAAGUGCACAGGUGAGCUUAUGAAUUUGUGACCCCUACACUGAGAUGUCUUCAGAAGCAAAAUGGCUACCAUUGUCACUCCAUUCCUGUAACACUACAAUCAGUGAAGCUAUUCUGAUAAUCUUUUCUCUAAAAGCAGUCCAGUAAGGAAAAUUAGUCAUUUUUAAAAAUAUAUGUGUAAUAUGUAGCUGUACUUAAGAAUGCUUAAAAAGACUUAAAUGUUUUCAUCAAUUGUGAAAGGAUCAAUUGUAAUUCUCUUGGAUAAUAAAAGAUAUUGAUCCAUAUGACCUGGUAACCCUUGACCUGGAAACAGUACCAACAACAAAGAAGUGAUACAA
Long non-coding RNA from Hemiscyllium ocellatum (epaulette shark), 1717 nucleotides. RefSeq lists it as uncharacterized. The transcript is spliced from 3 exons. Lineage: Eukaryota; Metazoa; Chordata; Chondrichthyes; Orectolobiformes; Hemiscylliidae. The record is from RefSeq and is a predicted model, not a curated record.